CGGCCGCCCGCUCUCCCCGGCGCCCGCCGCCGCCGCUCGCUUUUUUAAUGUCCACAGACAGUGAAAAGGAACUCGGCGUUAGGGGGCUGCCGCCGUGUCGGAGGCGAGGCAAGGAAGGGAGCUGGAAUAACAAAGAAGGAAGUCAUCUCCAGAGAUAAAGAGAGUGAGCCCAAGCCACAGAAAGAAAAGGAGAAUGAAGACCGGGCACUGUGGCUCAUGCCUGUAAUCCCAGCACUUUGGGAGGCUGAGGCAGGCAGAUCACAAGUGAUUUUCCCUACUGGGCAGCAGAUGAUUUCUUCAAAGGUUGCCUGGAUCAGAGUCCUUAAGGGAAUUAAGAAGUUGGGGAGUAAUGACCACAUCAAGUGUCGGUGAGGAUGUGGAGGAACUGGAACUCUUACACACAGCUGGUGGGGAUGUACAAUGAAAUGACCACUUUGGAAAACAGUCUGACAGUUAAAAAAAAAAAUUUAACAUAACAUCUAUCAUAUGAGCCAGCCAAUCUACUUGUAGGUAUUUACUCAAGAAGAAAGGAACACGGCUAUACAAAGACUUGUACAUAAUGUUCAUAGCAGCUUUAUUUGUAAUAGCCAAAGAGUGCAAAUGUCCAUUAGUAGGGAAAUGGAUAAACAAGUCAUAGUAUAUCCAUACCAUAAAAUACAACUUAGCAAUAAAAAGAAAUGAAUGAUUGACAUACACAAAGACAUGGGUGAAUCUCCAAAAAUUAUGCUAAGCAAAAGAAAGCACACAAAAAAGCACAUGCUGUGUGAUUCCAUUGAUAUGAAAAUGUAUAAAAUGUGAACUGAUCUACAGUGAUAUAAAGUACAUCAUUGGUUUCCUGGGGACAGGGUUACGGUGCGGCAAGAGGGAGGAAUGAAAACAGGGAAUGAAGAAACUUUGGGGCUAUGAAUGUAUUUGUUAUCUUGAUGGCAGUGAUUAUUUCAUGGCUUAAACUUACAUCAAAGUUUAUCAAAUUGUACAUUUAAAAUAUGACAUACAGUUUAUUGGAGCCAAUUAAACCUCAAUAAAGUAGUUAAAGAAGAGUUCAUGGAUAAGACAAAUGUAGCUGCUGCUUGUCCAAUAUUUCCUCCCUGUUUCUUUAGCUCAAGGGAACUCCAAUUUUUUUUGGGUGGCAUUGCAAAUGGGUUAUAACUGAUCUAAGCCACUUAUGAUAAUCCCAUUACCCACUCUGCCUGUCUCCUUUGCAGCUGGGACCGGCCAUAUAACCUAAGUCACAGAGACCUAAGAUGACCUAAGUUGACUGUUGACGAUUCUGGGAAAGCUUUGGCUCUCGUAAUAUAAAGUGGGCUUAAUGUGCCUGUUGCAAAACUUUCCUCCUCUCCUUCCUGUUUGGAGUUAGAACAUGAUAUCUGGAGCUGCAACAGCUAUCUUGUCACCUUGAGGGCAAGGCUGAGAGAGCUGUAAACAUGCUGGCCUUGGUUUCACGCAACCUUUGAGCAGCUACCUUCCUCUGGUCUUGACGUGCAAGAAAAAUGCUCCCUAUUUGUUUGUUUCUACUGCUGCAAAUAGUUUUCUGUUACUUGUAGCUGAAGAAUACAUUCUCACUGUUAUAACUGGGUUGGUGUUUCAGUUAUUUACUGCUACAUAACAAACUCUCCUAAAUUUAGAGCACGAAACCACAACCAUUUUUAAAUUCUCAUGGUCCUUUGGGCCAGGAAAUUUGCUAGGGCACAGCAGGAAUACCUUGUCUCUUCUCCAUGAUGUCUGGGGCUUCAGCUGGAGAUGGCUGUGGCAAAUCAAUUAUAGCUAGGUGUCUGGGGCUGCUGUGAGAUUUGCCAGGGCUGGGAUGUCUGCAGUCACUCUUUCACUUACGUGUUUGGUGCUCGGGCUAAGACUGAGCUCUGUCA
Cercocebus atys (sooty mangabey) is the source of this 1865-nucleotide long non-coding RNA. RefSeq lists it as uncharacterized. The transcript has 4 exons. The record is from RefSeq and is a predicted model, not a curated record. Lineage: Eukaryota; Metazoa; Chordata; Mammalia; Primates; Cercopithecidae.